UUGAACGCUGGCGGCAUGCUUUACACAUGCAGGUCGAACGGCAGCACGGGGGCAACCCUGGUGGCGAGUGGCGAACGGGUGAGUAACAUAUCGGAACGUACCCUGUCGUGGGGGAUAACACAGCGAAAGCUGUGCUAAUACCGCAUACGGCCUGAGGGUGAAAGCGGGGGAUCGCAAGACCUCGCGCGAUAGGAGCGGCCGAUAUCGGAUUAGCUUGUUGGUGAGGUAAAGGCUCACCAAGGCGACGAUCCGUAGCUGGUCUGAGAGGACGACCAGCCACACUGGAACUGAGACACGGUCCAGACUCCUACGGGAGGCAGCAGUGGGGAAUUUUGGACAAUGGGGGCAACCCUGAUCCAGCCAUUCCGCGUGAGUGAAGAAGGCCUUCGGGUUGUAAAGCUCUUUCAGCAGGAACGAAACGGUGGCUACUAAUACUAGCUACUAAUGACGGUACCUGAAGAAGAAGCACCGGCUAACUACGU
RNAcentral lists this ribosomal RNA (482 nucleotides) under uncultured bacterium. RNAcentral's name for it is "bacterial SSU rRNA". It matches the Rfam family "Bacterial small subunit ribosomal RNA", at positions 30 to 506 of the family's 1533-position model. The record is from RNAcentral.